RNAcentral lists this unclassified non-coding RNA (193 nucleotides) under uncultured Xylariales. RNAcentral's name for it is "sequence contains ITS1". Lineage: Eukaryota; Fungi; Ascomycota; Sordariomycetes; Xylariales. The record is from RNAcentral.
CCUAUCAUCCAGUGUGGUCGCGGCCUCCGGGUUCUUCCCGGGCGGUAGAGGUAACACUCUCACGCGCCACGCGUUUGAAUCCUUUUUUUUACGAGCACCUUUCGUUCUCCUUCGGUGGGGCAACCUGCCGUUGGAAUCAUAAAAACCUUUUUUUGCAUCUAGCAUUACCUGUUCCGAUAACAAACAAUCGUUA